This 332-nucleotide RNase P RNA is filed under the name Cognatundibacterium luofuense. Its description in RNAcentral is "Undibacterium luofuense Bacterial RNase P class A". It matches the Rfam family "Bacterial RNase P class A". From Rfam's summary of the family: Ribonuclease P (RNase P) is a ubiquitous endoribonuclease, found in archaea, bacteria and eukarya as well as chloroplasts and mitochondria. Lineage: Bacteria; Pseudomonadati; Pseudomonadota; Betaproteobacteria; Burkholderiales; Oxalobacteraceae. The record is from Rfam by way of RNAcentral.
GAAGCAGGCCAGACAAUCGCUGGCUGUUACAGCAAUGUAGCAGCGGGAGGAAGGUCCGGACUCCACAGAGCAGGGUGACGGCUAACGGCCGUACGCUGAAAGCCGCAAGGUAUAAGGCGAGGAAUAGGGCCACAGAGACGAGCGUAUUCAGUUACGGUGAAACGCGGUAACCUCCACCCGGAGCAAUUUCAAAUAGGCACGCAUUGAUGUGGCUCGCGGAGCGUGCGGGUAGAAAGCUUGAGCACUGGAGCAAUCCAGCGCCUAGAGGAAUGAUUGUCAUAGUCUGAGUGAUCAGACCGUAACAGAAUCCGGCCUACCGGCCUGCUUUAUUU